UAGGAUUUCCUUAGUAGCGGCGAGCGAACAGGAAUAAGCCCAGCACUGAAUCCCGCGGUCGAAACCGGUCGCCGGGAAAUGUGGUGUUAGGGAGGAUCCGUUAUCCCGAGAUUGUGCGGUGCGUCCAAGUCCUUCUUGAACGGGGCCACAGCCCAUAGAGGGUGCCAGGCCCGUAGUGACUGCUGCCAAUCGCAGGUGGAUCUCUCCUCAGAGUCGGGUUGCUUGAGAGUGCAGCCCUAAGUGGGUGGUAAACUCCAUCUAAGGCUAAAUAUGACCACGAGACCGAUAGCGAACAAGUACCGUGAGGGAAAGUUGAAAAGAACUUUGAAGAGAGAGUUCAAUAGUACGUGAAACCGUUCAGGGGUAAACCUGAGAAACCCGAAAGUUCGAAAGGGGAGAUUCAGCGCGUCUCGUAAUUGUCCUGGGUGUGAUGGUAAAAGCAGCAAUUCUGUUGUUGUGGAACCUAAGCAUUUUAUGUACUUUAUGAACGUGUGCACUUCUCCCCCAGUAGGACGUCGCGAUCCGUUGGGUGUCGGUCUACGGCCUGUAAUGUUGUCCGUCAGGAUGGUUUUCCAUGUCUGACGAACUUGCAGUGCUUCCUGGCCGACUUGCUUGACGGUUUACAGAUGGCGUGGGGCCGCUACUAUAGUUAGCGUUUGAGUUAUAGCAAGCGCGCCUUUUGUGUCGGUGAUCGGACCUAGUGCCGUUCCUGACCACUGGUGGCUGUUCGCUAUAUAAUUCUCGAGCAGACCUCGUUGUAACGCCGAUCUGCGACGCUAUAGCUUUGGGUACUUUCAGGACCCGUCUUGAAACACGGACCAAGGAGUCUAGCAUGUGCGCGAGUCAUUGGGACAUAACUAAACCUAAAGGCGCAAUGAAAGUAAAGAUUUGCCUUGCGCAAAUCUAGGGAAGAUGAGUAGUGUAAAUUACUGCUUCGCACUCCCGGGGCGUCUCAUUCUCAUUGCGAGAAGAGGCGCACCAAGAGCGUACACGCUGGGACCCGAAAGAUGGUGAACUAUGCCUGGUCAGGACGAAGUCAGGGGAAACCCUGAUGGAGGUCCGUAGCGAUUCUGACGUGCAAAUCGAUCGUCGGAACUGGGUAUAGGGGCGAAAGACUAAUCGAACCAUCUAGUAGCUGGUUCCCUCCGAAGUUUCCCUCAGGAUAGCUGGCGCUCAUUGCGCACGAGUUUCAUCCGGUAAAGCGAAUGAUUAGAGGCAUUGGGGUCGAAACGGCCUCAACCUAUUCUCAAACUUUAAAUGGGUGAGAUCUUCGGCUUGCUUGAACUCUUGAAGCCGCAAGACUCGAAUCAGAGUGCCAAGUGGGCCAUUUUUG
Molecule: ribosomal RNA, 1333 nt
Filed under: Penthe pimelia
Lineage: Eukaryota; Metazoa; Arthropoda; Insecta; Coleoptera; Tetratomidae
Description: eukaryotic LSU rRNA
Rfam family: Eukaryotic large subunit ribosomal RNA
Source: RNAcentral